This is a long non-coding RNA of Mirounga angustirostris (Northern elephant seal), 3656 nucleotides long. RefSeq lists it as uncharacterized. NCBI's taxonomy places the organism in Eukaryota, Metazoa, Chordata, Mammalia, Carnivora, Phocidae. The record is from RefSeq and is a predicted model, not a curated record. The transcript is spliced from 5 exons.
CAUUCCUUAAAGUUUUAAGUGGCCUGUUGGAUGCCCCCAUGUCCCUCAGUGACCUUGGGGGCUGGGGUCUCUUUGCGCUGCGGGAUGCACUCCGAAGCAGGGGAUCCCGUCAGGGCACCUUCCUUACUUGGAAGGCCUCUCUCUCCAGCGCAGCUGGAUGUCAGCUCUUUGCAGGCCUAAAGCAAAGCUGUGCUCGCCCCAAACGGUGGGGGUGAGUCGGACUCCUCUUUAUGGCAGGCGACCCUUGUCCACACCAGGAGCCGCGGCCUCCGUUCUUUCCCUGGUAGGAUGGGCGGGAGGCUGAAUGCAUCCCUGAGGCUCGUGUAUGUUGACAGCCUGCAGCCCUGGGGGUUAUACUUUCUAUGAAACUGUUAGCAGCACGAGCACAGUGAGUGUUGCACUUGGUGCUUACAAAGAGCCAUUUGGGAAAAAGGCGAUAAAAAGAAAUUUUCAGGAGAAAAGCAAGGAUGUUGGCAAACCAAGUGACACUGUGGGUCAGCUCAGGGAACGUGUUUUGUUUUUGCUUUUUUCAAAGUUCUUGAGCUUAGAUGUUGGGUCUUCUAAGCUCCUGUCCUUUUCAUUUGGCUGCAUUCCCCCCAAAGGUCAAAGAGAAUGAUUCCUCCCCAGCCAAUGUGGAGAGACUUUGGCUUAACGGGGGGAGGGAUGGGGAGGGGCGUGAUCCCACCCGGGGAACCCGAGUCUCUCUGGGGGGACUGUGGCAUGCCUUCAAUUCCUGUUUGAGGGCAAAGUUACACUUGGUCUUUGUAAGCAGCCCUAUGUCCUAGUCUAGCUCCAGCUUUCCUUGUGUGUCUUCUAGGAAACGAUUGGCAGAUAAUUUCACUUCUCUUGCUAAGGAGAGGUAUGUAUGAAGGUCUCCCGAAGAUCUCUCUUCCAAGUAGAGGCAGGUGUGGCCAGCGGCAUCAGCGAGGGGCCAGGACUACUUGCAGGGGUCUGGAUUCUGGGAGGAGGUGGCUGCUGGAAGCUGCUGGAGGCACCUCAGGGCUGCACGGUUCAGGCCGGCAGGCAGCAAAGACCUUUAGAGCCGUGUGAGCAGAACCUGGGAGGGGCUGCCGCUCAUCCACCUCCUGGUGGGGAGGAAGGCAUGGCCCUUGGCUGCCAGGCUCAGGGGUGGGAGGCAGGCUGCUGAUUCAUUGCCUCAUUCCCUCCUUCAUUCAGCUGGUGGUUACUGUGUGGGGCACAGUCUUCGGCACAGACUCCUGCCGAGUUCUUGCCACAGAGACUCUUGUUCCAGCAGAGGGGCGAAUGGUGUCAGGCUGUGAAUCAGCCAAGGUCCCAGGAAGAGUUUCUCUCUGUUGGGGAGCAGGACAGCCCCACAAAAUCCUCUCCGAGCUGAGCAGCUUUAUAUUGGUACCUCUCUCAGGAGGACCCAGAAUACCCGGUGCCACCGCCCACCAUCCUGAUCCGGGACAAGCCGCUGACCACUGAGCAUCUCACCUGGAAGCCCAGCUGAUGAUGAGGCUGCCAUGUGCCCUGCCCCUCCGUGGCUUCUUAGAAGCUGCCAUCUCCAGCAGAAAAUCUUCAAGUGGCACAGAAUCACACGUUCUCCGUGCGGGAAGGAAGUCUAGUUGAUAUUGAUUCCUCAUUUUGCAGAUGAGAAAGUGGCCUUAGGGAAGCGAAGUGUUAUUGCAGGUGAGCUUUUGGAGGCCCCGAGCUGUGUCCCAUGCCCAGCAGACCCGCAUAUUCAAGGCUGGCCACGCCAUCCCCACGGCAGCCGGUCCAUCCCAUAGCCAGCUGAUGUGCCCAAUGCUGGCACCUCAGAAUUCUCCAGAGGGAAGGAAGCAUCUGGAAGCACGUGGUCCAAGCAGCUUGGGGGUCUACCUGCCCAUGACCUCUGGAACUGGCCUGACUGGAAAUUUAGUCUUUUGGUUAAAGCCAAACUUUUUCUUGCUGCUGCUUGUGGCUUCCUGUCGCUCAGAGUAGACACACUGGUCUGUCUGUCCAGCCUCUGGUUGUGGGGACAGCAGGUCAGUGACGGACAGGAAAGCCUGUUGUGGUCUGAAAGCCAAGACCUGGAGAGCAGUCAGUUAAGGGAACAUCGUCAAGGUGAUGUAGAAGCUUUUUUGUCCCCGCAAGGCAGGCUCUGAUCCUACAGCCACUGGCCAUUUCUUCAUCUCCUACCAGGCAAUAUGUGGUUUUACUUCCUCACCUCAAGGGGAGGUGGGAUUCCCAGCUGGUUUUCAUGAUUCAUUGUUUCAGGGUUCCAGGCCCGCCUCGGCUUGAAGUCGUAAGCCCCGUGGCCACGCACGCCGAGAAGGCUGGAAUCCAUUUGGCUCUCCGACAUGGUCUCCCUGCCUUUGUGACAGGGGCUCUGGCCACAUUCACCUUCGUCUUAUCCUCCUGGAGUGGGGAUGAUCCAGGAGCACGAUUUAAAUUUGUUGUUUUUUUUGUGUGGAGGUGGCUCAGUCCAAUAGAAUUCUAAGUGGCAACAUCAAUACAAAGUGAAAAGCAACAUUGCAAGAGAAGACAAAGUAUCCUCAUUCUCAACAAGACCUGAGCUCCCCAGGGUGUUUGCUACAUAGCAGCUAAUUGGUGCCUGGAAUUCCUUCCACCAGGCAGGAUGGAUGGGAUACGCAGGUUCCAGGAAAGAGGCUGCUGAUGGUGGGUCAAGCACGGCUGCCGGAAGACCCGUCGGAAAUCAUUGCGCACCCAUUUGCUGCCCUGGGAUUUCUGCAAAUCGCUCACGUGCCGGCUCUGUGGGGCCCAGACAAUGACAAGCCUCAGUGUUCCUCCUUCCGCACGGAGAGGGAGAGUUUCACCUGGAACACCUUGACUCCCACGCGGGGCUCAGGACGUCAUUGGGCUGCAAAUUACUCCAAAUAAACAAGCUAGUACAGAAAAAGUAAUGGUCAGAAUGCUUGGUUUCCACUAAACGAUUAUGUUAUGGGAACAUUGUGCCUCUGGAAUACCAGAUUUGGCCUGAGUGAACUCUGUCCGGAUGAAUGUCCUUUCUGCCCCUCUUCUGCUGCCCCCUGCCUCCCCAGCUAGGCUGUCCUGGGGUCCCCAGGAGCCCAGGGUGGGGCUGGCCGGAGUCAGGUGCUGGACCCCUGCACGGACACGUCUAGGGACUCGGGCCAGCAUGAGGACACCCGGAAGGGUCUCAGCAGCUGUCCCGUGAAGCAGAAUGUUCCCAGGCAUAGCAUGUCCCUUUCAGGCCGUUUCUUUCUGGAAAACUCGGAAUGUGCCAGGAGUAAGAGAGGCAUCCCUGAGGAUCUCUGGACCCGAUGGAAGUAUUCCCGAGCACGUUUCCCUCUGCUGAGCAUUAGGAGUAGGGGAGAGGGAAACCCAGCACCACCUCGGGUGCCCCAACAGAAUGUGCUUCCAGAAUCAGGGCAUCAGGCCGGGUGCGGGGCCCACUGGCUUCCUUCCUGUUGACUGUUCCUGUGUCCCCAGACCACGCCCCUGCGCAGCCUCUGCCUUGCUGGUCUGGGUGUGGCUUCCCUCCUGCUCCCAGUUCUGCAGAAGCCACCAACCGUCUAGGAAGUACAGAAGUUCCCUUCCAGAAAGACAUCCUUUAAAGUCUGAAUUCCUGAAGACAAUCACACCGUCCGUCUGGCAGGAGGAGUAUGCCCAUUAUGGGCUGCUAAAUAUUGAAUUUUGAACCAAUGAUGUAUUAUAUGGUGACUAACAUAACAUAA